Molecule: long non-coding RNA, 722 nt
Organism: Humulus lupulus (European hop)
Lineage: Eukaryota; Viridiplantae; Streptophyta; Magnoliopsida; Rosales; Cannabaceae
Exons: 5
Source: RefSeq, a predicted model, not a curated record
GAAAUUUCUCUCAGCCUCAUCCCUAAACCUAAUUUCUCUCAGCCUCUGCCUCUCUUUCUUACCCUCAUCUUCUACACAACCACGUUCUUCUCCUCCACUCACUCUCGUCUACAUAACCACGUUUCUACACUAAUUUCUGGUUUCGUCUUGUCUAUCUCUGCCUCAAGCGAGUCGCUAGAGCACACGACGUCGGUGCGAGCUUCCGGAGGACACAACGGCGGUGGGUUUUCUGGUUCGCUCUCUCUCCUCUCCUCUCUCACCGAUCCGCCCUCCAAACGACGCUGCCACCUCUAUGACGCCGACGCAAACGCCGGUACCCGCGAACUACACCUCUACGACGCCAACGUCGCUAUGAAGAAAAAAUCAGUUUGAUUUUAAGGUAUAUCUACUUGAUGAGUCGAUGGCAAAGUUGCAUUUAUUUCUUGGUCGACAACUAGGGAAUAUCUCAGGAAUGCCUCUAUUGUUAAGGUAUUUCUGAAUUUUGGGGACUUGAGAUGGGGCAAUGUCUUUAUUUGGUUCAUACCUGGAUUCUGAAACUGGGGUGCUUCACUUUAUUCAGGUGAUCAUCAUCCUGAUGCACUUCGCCAGCUAGAUCAGCAUUUGAAAACAUAAAAGAAAUGAGAUUGAAUCUUUAGUGAAGCUGAAGGAGGUGUUUCAUAAUUGUAAAGAUACAGAAAAUGAUAUUGUGUUGGAGAUACAAAGGUUAAUUUAUUCCACUAUUU